Molecule: ribosomal RNA, 272 nt
Filed under: uncultured bacterium
Lineage: Bacteria
Description: partial 16S ribosomal RNA
Rfam family: Bacterial small subunit ribosomal RNA
Source: RNAcentral
UACGUAGGGUGCGAGCGUUAAUCGGAAUUACUGGGCGUAAAGUGUGCGCAGGCGGCCGAGCAAGUCGAGUGUGAAAUCCCCGGGCUUAACUUGGGAAUUGCGCUCGAAACUACUUGGCUGGAGUGUGGCAGAGGAAGGUGGAAUUCCACGUGUAGCGGUGAAAUGCGUAGAGAUGUGGAGGAACACCGAUGGCGAAGGCAGCCUUCUGGGCCAACACUGACGCUCAUGCACGAAAGCGUGGGGAGCAAACAGGAUUAGAAACCCCGGGUAGU